CUAGACUGACAGUCAAUCAAACCUACAGGAGCUGUGUUCUUACAGGCAAGAUGUCACGUUAUACAAACUUCUCUGCAUACAUCUCUUUAAUUCCAGACUCGGACUCUUUGCAUAUCCACACUGAGAUCAGCCCUCCCAAGUGUUGGAUGCUUGCAAAGGAGAAGAAACAAGGCAAAGGAACUCCGGUGGUUUUGUGUGCUGCUCUCUCAUGCCUUGUUGAAGAGUAGGAGUGGCUGGAUAACAUGUGAAGAAGCACUCUAGUUUACCGCAGGCCAAAGUGAAAAAACUUGCUGCAAAUGAUUUGUUUCUUCGUCUCUGUGCUCAUUUGGGAGAAUGGAGCAGAUACUGACAGCAGGGUGUUCUGGGAAGGAGCAGAGAUGGCAACUAUGUGCCCUGAACUUCUGUGAGGGUAUUUCCGAGGUCAUCAGCGGUCCCAUGGGGGAAAUGAGUCAGCAAAAGCGUAACUGCAGAUCUCAGCGACCGCUGCGAGGAGCACCGCGUUAUCCCGAGCAGCUCUGAGUCACCGCGCAGCCACGGCCGUGUCACAGAGCCGAGAACCGCUGCCAGCGGAGAGGGACCCUUCUCACCUCCCACCGCUAUCAAAUGUCACCCACCCAUCUAUCUCAGCGUCCCUCAUUAUGAAGCUCAUCACUCAUUUCAGAAUGGGCGUUCCACGCAGAACGCCGCAUCCUCUCACUUUAUUAACAGCCAGCAGGGCUGACAUUGCACUUCGCGGGCACCGCUGCAGCGUCAGGGCGCGCACAGCCCCGCCUCGCCUGUAAGCCGCCGCCGCCUCAGG
This is a long non-coding RNA of Gallus gallus (chicken), 799 nucleotides long. Lineage: Eukaryota; Metazoa; Chordata; Aves; Galliformes; Phasianidae. The record is from Ensembl.